Molecule: ribosomal RNA, 499 nt
Filed under: uncultured bacterium
Lineage: Bacteria
Description: partial 16S ribosomal RNA
Rfam family: Bacterial small subunit ribosomal RNA
Source: RNAcentral
ACUCAAAGGAAUUGACGGGGGCCCGCACAAGCGGCGGAGCAUGCGGAUUAAUUCGAUGCAACGCGAAGAACCUUACCUAGGUUUGACAUAUACGAGAAGCCUCUGGAGACAGAGGUCUCUUUGGACACUUGUAUACAGGUGGUGCAUGGCUGUCGUCAGCUCGUGUCGUGAGAUGUUGGGUUAAGUCCCGCAACGAGCGCAACCCUCGUCUUAUGUUGCCAGCACGUAAUGGUGGGGACUCAUAAGAGACUGCCGGGGUCAACUCGGAGGAAGGUGGGGAUGACGUCAAGUCAUCAUGCCCCUUAUGCCUAGGGCUUCACGCAUGCUACAAUGGCCGGUACAAAGGGCUGCGAUACCGCAAGGUGGAGCGAAUCCCAAAAAGCCGGUCUCAGUUCGGAUUGGGGUCUGCAACUCGACCCCAUGAAGUCGGAGUCGCUAGUAAUCGCAGAUCAGCAACGCUGCGGUGAAUACGUUCCCGGGCCUUGUACACACCGCCCGU